UCUUCUUAUCCAAUCUAAAUUUCCCCUCUUUCAGUUUGAACCCAUUACUCUUUGUCCUAAAAGAAGAAAUCAGAAACCAAAGCACCAGCCGUGGCUUCGCUCUCAAGAGUGAUUGAUUUCCUCAGCUUCCUCUCUUUUGGAGACUAUUUUGUGAAUUCCUUUUCCAUCAGGCCCCAAGGAGUGUGACUGGAGGCUGUUUUUCAACUCCUGGCACAGUGACAGGUCCUGCUGCAGCUCCAUGUGAGCUCCAGGCAGAGGGCUCUAGGUCCGUCCCAACACCCCUGGAGCAGCUUUCACAGGAUCAUGGAAUUUCAGGGUUGGAAGGUAUCUCUGGAGGUCACCCAGUCCAGCCCCCUGCCCAGGCAGGGUCACCCAGAGCAGGGGACACAGGAACACCUCCAGCCACUGCUCCUCGUCCUGUCUCUGGGCACCACUGAACAGAGUCUGGCACUGCCUUGGAAAUAUUUCCCUCUUGAAAAGGCUUUCCUAAACCAUGGUCUAGGCUGGGAAAUCAGGUGAGAUGUUGGAUAAAGUCUUGAGGGUUUGGUAGAGGUGAAAAAACAUGUUGUGUGUUACUGAGCUACUUGUGUUGACAGCUGAGUGCUUGGGGAGAGUUGCUGUGGCUCGAGGGGGGAGAGGCCACCUUGACAUGAGACUUCAGGGACAUUUUCUGCUGCCACAGUGGCCCCUCUGAUGUGGGCAGAGGUCACCCAUCUCCUGGGCUCUCUCCUGGAAGCCUCGGGAGUCUAAAGCUUGGUGUGUCAGUGCUGCUCUGUCCUGGAACGGAGAAGGUCCACGGCUGGAGUCAGCCUAACGAGUGGGGAAAGGCAGGGAAGGGAAAGCAGGAUACAAAGCAGGGAGAAGCCUUCGCUGAAGAAGAGGAACGUCAGUAAAAAGUGGGAGCUGUUAAGUUUGUGAUGAGUGUUGGGAAGGGGGUUUGUUAAUCCCCAAAUCCAAGGCCACCUUGGCUCUGUGUUGCCACAUGUGCAGGAAGGGGCCAAGACUGUUUAUUGCCAACCCCCCUGGCCCAGCAGCGUGACAGCACAGGCUGUCCUGGAGAGCCUUGGCCGUGCCCUGCCUCGACGGGAAACAGCUACGGGCUCUGUGUGAGGAGGAAAUGAGCAGCUUCCAAGGAAAACGUGGGAGAACGCAGAGGCUGGAAGGUGGACAGCGGCAGUUCUCCUGCACCCCUGGGGCAGAACAUCCCCAUCCUGGGCCGGGCUGGGGCAGCCCUGACCUCCCUGUGCCCCCUCCGCUCCCGUGGGUCUCACUCUGCCUUUCGAGUGUGUUGUGCUGGGUGGAAAUCUGGAAUAAACACAUUUCUCCAGCUUCCUCACGUAGUUUGAAUUUAACUCCCUAAUAAAGCGAUUGUUAUUUUUCUAA
This is a long non-coding RNA of Corvus hawaiiensis (hawaiian crow), 1383 nucleotides long. RefSeq lists it as uncharacterized. Lineage: Eukaryota; Metazoa; Chordata; Aves; Passeriformes; Corvidae. The record is from RefSeq and is a predicted model, not a curated record. The transcript has 2 exons.